ACAGAAUCAUCCCCCUCUUCCCACGUUAAAACCGUCCCUUUUCCCUUCACUCCAUAAAUCUCUCCCAUAUCUAUCAACCACCUCCCCUCUAUAAUGUACUUUCACAAAUCAGUUUCUCCUAUUCGUUUCUCUGCAACAAGAACACAAGAUAUACUCUUCUUAAUCAAAUUCAAGGAACCAAGAAAAAAAAAACCAAAUUUAAGAGAGAAGGUCCUACAUCGUUUCAUCCUUGUUUCAUUCACAAUCUGCCAAUUGAAGGUGAAUCAUCGCAAGUGAAACCUGAUACCAAGGGGGAAGAAAGUGCUUGUGAAUUAAGUAGUCGAGGUUGAGCGGCGACGAGCAAUU
Molecule: long non-coding RNA, 345 nt
Organism: Salvia splendens (bonfire salvia)
Lineage: Eukaryota; Viridiplantae; Streptophyta; Magnoliopsida; Lamiales; Lamiaceae
Exons: 4
Source: RefSeq, a predicted model, not a curated record